RNAcentral lists this ribosomal RNA (426 nucleotides) under uncultured bacterium. RNAcentral describes it as "partial 16S ribosomal RNA". It matches the Rfam family "Bacterial small subunit ribosomal RNA", at positions 354 to 796 of the family's 1533-position model. The record is from RNAcentral.
GUGAGGAAUUUUCCGCAAUGGGCGAAAGCCUGACGGAGCAAUGCCGCGUGAAGGAUGAAGGCCUAUGGGUUGUAAACUUCUUUUCUCAGAAAAGAAUUAUGACGGUAUCUGAGGAAUAAGCAUCGGCUAACUCUGUGCCAGCAGCCGCGGUAAGACAGAGGAUGCAAGCGUUAUCCGGAAUGAUUGGGCGUAAAGCGUCUGUAGGUUGUUUAAAAAGUAUUCUGUCAAAGAUUAGGGCUUAACCCUAGAUAGGCAGAAUAAACUUUUAAGCUAGAGUUUGGUAGAGGCAGAGGGAAUUCCCGGUGGAGCGGUGAAAUGCGUAGAUAUCGGGAGGAACACCAAAGGCGAAGGCACUCUGCUGUGCCAAUACUAACACUGAGAGACGAAAGCGAGGGGAGCAAAUGGGAUUAGAUACCCCAGUAGUCC